Molecule: long non-coding RNA, 324 nt
Organism: Rhincodon typus (whale shark)
Lineage: Eukaryota; Metazoa; Chordata; Chondrichthyes; Orectolobiformes; Rhincodontidae
Exons: 3
Source: RefSeq, a predicted model, not a curated record
GUUGAUCUGAAUUGUGCAUUUUCUGCAUGAUUAGCGUUUGGUUUCAGUACCGCACUGUUAUCCUUCGACUGGAGAAACGCUUUGGAAGUUAUUGUGAGCUUCAACCUUGCCAAAUCAGCCACAAUUCCCACACAGAAAAUGUUCGAGUGCACUGUAAUAUUUGAAAACACAUUACAGGAAUCCGAGAGGCUGGAAGUUGCAGAUGAAAGCCUUGUAUGGAGAAAGUUCCAAGAAAGACAAACAAGGACAGCACAAUGGCUCAGUGAAGAGUGGCACAGUGGCUCAGUGAAGAGUGGCACAGUGGCUCAGUGGUUCGUGUUGCUG